Molecule: ribosomal RNA, 432 nt
Filed under: uncultured bacterium
Lineage: Bacteria
Description: partial 16S ribosomal RNA
Rfam family: Bacterial small subunit ribosomal RNA
Source: RNAcentral
AACGAACGCUGGCGGCAUGCCUAACACAUGCAAGUCGAACGAAACCUUCGGGUCUAGUUGCGCACGGGUGCGUAACGCGUGGGAACCUGCCCUUAGGUUCGGAAUACCUCCCCGAAAGGGGUGCUCAUACCGGAUAAUGUCUUCGGACUAAAGAUUUAUCGCCUUUUGAUGGGCCUGCGUUGGAUUAGCUAGUUGGUAGGGUAAAAGCCUCCCAAGGCGACGAUCCAUAGCUGGUCUGAGAGGAUGAUCAGCCACACUGGGACUGAGACACGGCCCAGACGCCUACGGGAGGCAGCAGAGGGGAAUAUUGGACAAGGGGCGAAAGCCUGAUCCAGCAAUGCCGCGUGAGUGAUGAAGGCCUUAGGGUUGUAAAGCGCUUUUACCCGGGAGGAUAAUGACAGAACCGGGAGAAUAAGCCCCGGCUAACUCCGU